This 580-nucleotide ribosomal RNA is filed under the name Nigrospora sphaerica. Its description in RNAcentral is "eukaryotic LSU rRNA". The stretch from base 211 to 364 matches the Rfam family "5.8S ribosomal RNA". Lineage: Eukaryota; Fungi; Ascomycota; Sordariomycetes; Amphisphaeriales; Apiosporaceae. The record is from RNAcentral.
GGAAGUAAAAGUCGUAACAAGGUCUUCCGUUGGUGAACCAGCGGAGGGAUCAUUACAGAGUUAUCCAACUCCCAAACCCAUGUGAACUUAUCUCUUUGUUGCCUCGGCGCAAGCUACCCGGGACCUCGCGCCCCGGGCGGCCCGCCGGCGGACAAACCAAAACUCUUGUUAUCUUAGUUGAUUAUCUGAGUGUCUUAUUUAAUAAGUCAAAACUUUCAACAACGGAUCUCUUGGUUCUGGCAUCGAUGAAGAACGCAGCGAAAUGCGAUAAGUAAUGUGAAUUGCAGAAUUCAGUGAAUCAUCGAAUCUUUGAACGCACAUUGCGCCCAUUAGUAUUCUAGUGGGCAUGCCUGUUCGAGCGUCAUUUCAACCCCUAAGCACAGCUUAUUGUUGGGAACCUACGGCUUCGUAGUUCCUCAAAGACAUUGGCGGAGUGGCAGUGGUCCUCUGAGCGUAGUAAUCUUUUAUCUCGCUUCUGUUAGGUGCUGCCCCCCCGGCCGUAAAACCCCCAAUUUUUUCUGGUUGACCUCGGAUCAGGUAGGAAUACCCGCUGAACUUAAGCAUAUCAAUAAGCGGAGGA